CUGGCUGCCUCUCACAAAUACAUCCCAAGUACCAGUAGCCAUUUUCUAGCACACUUACUCCCUAUCUAACCAAGCAACCAGCUUGUAGCCUCCUAGGGGCAGCAUGCCAUUAGUUCUCCUGUUGAGAUAAGCAUGUUAACAAUUCAAAGUACCAUGCUACCAUUACUGUUUUAACUUCUCUUUAGCUGCAGACAUGUUAGCUUGCACACUGAUCCACUUAAUACUCAUAUGUCUAUGCAAUAGUUCUCUCUUAUCAUAAUUUUAAAAUGCGCAGUACCUACAAUUGCCAUAUUACUGUCUCAAACUACAAAAC
Molecule: non-coding RNA, 313 nt
Organism: Pelobates cultripes (western spadefoot toad)
Lineage: Eukaryota; Metazoa; Chordata; Amphibia; Anura; Pelobatidae
Source: the annotation of a GenBank genome assembly